UGAGUCUAAUAUGGCCAGCAAUAAUACUAGUAGUCGUUACAGUAUUUCCUUUUAGGCUUCUGGGGAAACUUUUAAGUGCAUGUGCAUUCUAACCCCUUUCUGCAGUAUAAUGGAUAGAAAAAAGAAAUAUGGGAACUGUCCAAGAGCAACAGAUAGUAUGGAGUGGUACAUACAUUUGAUGCAGUCUUUUUUAUUAUUAUUAUUAUAUAUUGACUGGACAUUGAACAGUAAUUAAGACACUUAUGAAAUAUUCUUUUUGAACAAAAUAAAUCUGGAAUCUGCCCCUAAUAUUUUCGGAAGUGUUCUUAGAUAAAUAAUUUCCGCAAAGUCAUUAGUAUCAGAGGGUGUGCUGAAAAUAUCCCAGAAUGUCAGAUGGUUAUUUGUGGGUCUUUUUCCACAGUGUUAAAUCAUGGUUUAUUAUUUUUUUGCCUCAUGUUUUCACUAGGGCUUAUGUGCAGCCCAUGACCGGAAGCCAUUGUCAAAUUGUUUUGAAAAGAAUUUUUGAAUUGAUAACAAAAAUGUACUGGUGUUUUUAAAACCUUUGAAAUGAUAACAAACGCCAAUUAUUGCAGUUAACUGUAUUUGUGAAACAAGUUCCAAGCAUUUUAAAAGGGUUGUUUUCUCCAUCACCAUUAAUGCUAAGACACCAUUUAAUAAUGAAAUUGCAGACUGAUGCAAUAAGUGUUAUUUAUAUUUUCCUGAAGGGAAAAACAUCUAAAACUGUUGUACAUACUGAUAAUGUUUCUUUAAUUAUGGGCUUUCUUGCAUAAUUUAAUGUGUUUUGAGGGGAGCGGAGGGGGGCUAUGGGCCUUGAGAAUCUAAUGAAAGGGAUGCGUACGUGAUAAAAUAAACCUCAAUUUCCUUGA
Sinocyclocheilus anshuiensis is the source of this 866-nucleotide long non-coding RNA. RefSeq lists it as uncharacterized. NCBI's taxonomy places the organism in Eukaryota, Metazoa, Chordata, Actinopteri, Cypriniformes, Cyprinidae. The record is from RefSeq and is a predicted model, not a curated record. The transcript has 2 exons.